UGAUGAAAGGUUAACACACAUGGAAAGUGAUAGGAAGAUAACGUUGAUUGAGUGAUGGGAGGCGGAAAGUCAGGCUGAUAGGGACAGGACUGAGAUUAUCGAACUUAAGAAAAAGAAGAUGGAGAUGGAAAUUAUGAGUAUGAAUGUUGAUAACAUGAAUGCGGUUCAGAGAGAAUACUUCAAGUCACUUCAAAUGAAAAUCAUAGAGAAACGUAGGAAUGAAUUGAAUCAAAUGUAGUAGCUGGAGGAGGGAGAAGUGAAUCAAAGAGUUGUUGUUUGUGCACACCUGGUACUGCUCAUUUUGGAUUUUGCUGCUGAAUUUUAUUGAAUACUCAUAACAGUUAUGUGGAUAGUUUUUGUAACUCAUCAUGUGGAUGUUUUUUGGAACUUCAUGACAGAUGUAUGUUUUUUGGGCUUAGCAUAGCAGAUGUAUGUAACAACUCAUGUG
Long non-coding RNA from Juglans microcarpa x Juglans regia, 448 nucleotides. RefSeq lists it as uncharacterized. The transcript has 2 exons. The record is from RefSeq and is a predicted model, not a curated record. NCBI's taxonomy places the organism in Eukaryota, Viridiplantae, Streptophyta, Magnoliopsida, Fagales, Juglandaceae.